Molecule: ribosomal RNA, 406 nt
Filed under: uncultured bacterium
Lineage: Bacteria
Description: partial 16S ribosomal RNA
Rfam family: Bacterial small subunit ribosomal RNA
Source: RNAcentral
AUUGAACGCUGGCGGCAGGCCUAACACAUGCAAGUCGAACGAGUGGCGGACGGGUGAGUAAUGUCUGGGAAACUGCCCGAUGGAGGGGGAUAACUACUGGAAACGGUAGCUAAUAACGCAUACCAUCGGAUGUACCCAGAUGGGAUUAGCUAGUAGGUGGGGUAAUGGCUAACCUAGGCGACGAUCCCUAGCUGGUCUGAGAGGAUGACCAGCCACACUGGGACGGAGACACGGCCCAGACUCCUACGGGAGGCAGCAGUGGGGAAUAUUGCACAAUGGGCGCAAGCCUGAUGCAGCCAUGCCGCGUGUAUGAAGAAGGCCUUCGGGUUGUAAAGUACUUUCAGCGGGGAGGCGUUACUCGCAGAAGAAGCACCGGCUAACUCCGUGCCAGCAGCCGCGGUAAUUC